UACGUAGGUGACAAGAGUUAUCCGGAAUUACUGGGCGUAAAGCGCACGCAGGCGGAAGCUUAAGUCUGACGUGAAAUCUCCUGGCUUAACUGGGAGAGGUCGUUGGAAACUGGGCAGCUUGAGGUGGUGAGAGGUGUGCAGAAUUCCCGGUGUAGUGGUGGAAUGCGUAGAUAUCGGGAGGAAUACCAGUGGCGAAAGCGGCGCCCUGGCACUGACCUUACGCUCAUGUGCGAAAGCGUGGCGAGCAAACGGG
Molecule: ribosomal RNA, 253 nt
Filed under: uncultured bacterium
Lineage: Bacteria
Description: partial 16S ribosomal RNA
Rfam family: Bacterial small subunit ribosomal RNA
Source: RNAcentral